Molecule: ribosomal RNA, 439 nt
Filed under: uncultured bacterium
Lineage: Bacteria
Description: partial 16S ribosomal RNA
Rfam family: Bacterial small subunit ribosomal RNA
Source: RNAcentral
CCUACGGGCGGCAGCAGUGGGGAAUAUUGCACAAUGGGCGAAAGCCUGAUGCAGCAACGCCGCGUGAGCGAUGAAGGCCUUCGGGUCGUAAAGCUCUGUCCUCAAGGAAGAUAAUGACGGUACUUGAGGAGGAAGCCCCGGCUAACUACGUGCCAGCAGCCGCGGUAAUACGUAGGGGGCUAGCGGUAUACGGAAUUACUGGUCGUAAAGGGUGCGUAGGUGGUUUCUUAAGUCAGAGGUGAAAGGCUGCGGCGCAACCGUAGUAAGCCUUUGAAAAUGGGAAACUUGAGUGGAGGAGAGGAGAGUGGAAUUCCUAGUGUAGCGGUGAAAUGCAUAGAUAUUAGGUGGAACACCAGUUGCGAAGGCAGCUCACUGGACUGCAACUGACACUGAGGCUCGAAAGUGUGGGGAUCAAACAGGAUUAGAUACCCCGGUAGUC